AGCUUGGUGCAGUGGCAGUAUCGUAGCCAAUGAGGUUUAUCCGAGGCGUGAUUAUUGCUAAUUGAAUGGAGAGUAGACAGGUAUAGAGGUGAGGAAAGAAUAUUCUAGGUGGAGGGAGUACUCU
RNAcentral lists this small nuclear RNA (124 nucleotides) under Panthera leo (lion). RNAcentral's name for it is "U4 spliceosomal RNA (ENSPLOG00000004993.1)". The stretch from base 1 to 67 matches the Rfam family "U4 spliceosomal RNA". Rfam says of the family: U4 small nuclear RNA (U4 snRNA) is a component of the major U2-dependent spliceosome. The structure of U4 snRNA from yeast and human has been reported. Lineage: Eukaryota; Metazoa; Chordata; Mammalia; Carnivora; Felidae. The record is from RNAcentral.